CCUACGGGGUGCAGCAGUGGGGGAUAUUGCACAAUGGGGGGAACCCUGAUGCAGCGACGCCGCGUGAGUGAAGAAGUAAUUCGUUAUGUAAAGCUCUAUCAGCAGGGAAGAAUAAAUGACUGUACCUGAGUAAGAAGCUCCGGCUAACUACGUUCCAGCAGCCGCGGUAAUACGUAGGGGGCAAGCGUUAAUCGGAUAUACGGGGUGGAAAGGGGGCGUAGACGGCGAUGCAAGGUAGAUGGGAAAGCCCGCGGCUCAACUGCGGGAGUGCAUUAGGAACUGGAUGGCUGGAGUGCAGGAGAGGCAGGCGGAAUUACAAGUGUAGCGGUGAAAUGCGUAGAGAUAAGGAGGAAAACCAGUGGCGAAGGCGGCCUGCUGGACUGAAACUGACGUUGAGGCUCGAAAGCGUGGGGAGCAAACAGGAUUAGAUACCCCUGUAGUC
Molecule: ribosomal RNA, 442 nt
Filed under: uncultured bacterium
Lineage: Bacteria
Description: partial 16S ribosomal RNA
Rfam family: Bacterial small subunit ribosomal RNA
Source: RNAcentral